CCUACGGGUGGCAGCAGUGGGGAAUAUUGGGCAAUGGGCGCAAGCCUGACCCAGCAACGCCGCGUGAAGGAAGAAGGCUUUCGGGUUGUAAACUUCUUUUAAGAGGGAAGAGCAGAAGACGGUACCUCUUGAAUAAGCCACGGCUAACUACGUGCCAGCAGCCGCGGUAAUACGGAGUUGGCAAGCGUUGUCCGGAUUUACUGGGUGGAAAGGGCGUGCAGCCGGGAAGACAAGUCAGAUGUGAAAUGCCGCGGCUCAACCGCGGAACUGCAUUUGAAACUGUUUUUCUUGAGUACCGUAGAGGUCAUCGGAAUUCCUUGUGUAGCGGUGAAAUGCGUAGAUAUCAGGAAGAACACCAGUGGCGAAGGCGGCUGACUGGACGGCAACUGACGGUGAGGCGCGAACGCGUGGGUAGCACACAGGAUUAGAUACCCCUGUAGUC
RNAcentral lists this ribosomal RNA (442 nucleotides) under uncultured bacterium. Its description in RNAcentral is "partial 16S ribosomal RNA". It matches the Rfam family "Bacterial small subunit ribosomal RNA", at positions 338 to 795 of the family's 1533-position model. The record is from RNAcentral.